This 159-nucleotide ribosomal RNA is filed under the name Acacia ingramii. RNAcentral describes it as "5.8S ribosomal RNA". It matches the Rfam family "5.8S ribosomal RNA". From Rfam's summary of the family: 5.8S ribosomal RNA (5.8S rRNA) is a component of the large subunit of the eukaryotic ribosome. It is transcribed by RNA polymerase I as part of the 45S precursor that also contains 18S and 28S rRNA. Lineage: Eukaryota; Viridiplantae; Streptophyta; Magnoliopsida; Fabales; Fabaceae. The record is from RNAcentral.
GAAUCUCGGCAACGGAUAUCUCGGCUCUCGCAUCGAUGAAGAACGUAGCGAAAUGCGAUACUUGGUGUGAAUUGCAGAAUCCCGUGAACCAUCGAGUCUUUGAACGCAAGUUGCGCCCGAAGCCGUCAGGCCGAGGGCACGCCUGCCUGGGCGUCACGC